RNAcentral lists this ribosomal RNA (253 nucleotides) under uncultured bacterium. RNAcentral's name for it is "partial 16S ribosomal RNA". It matches the Rfam family "Bacterial small subunit ribosomal RNA", at positions 524 to 776 of the family's 1533-position model. The record is from RNAcentral.
UACGGAGGAUCCAAGCGUUAUCCGGAUUUAUUGGGUUUAAAGGGUGCGUAGGCGGCUUAUUAAGUCAGAGGUGAAAGACGGUGGCUCAACCAUCGCAGUGCCUUUGAUACUGAUGAGCUUGAAUGAACCUGAGGUAGGCGGAAUGUGACAAGUAGCGGUGAAAUGCAUAGAUAUGUCACAGAACACCAAUUGCGAAGGCAGCUUACUAAAGUUUAAUUGACGCUGAGGCACGAAAGCGUGGGGAGCAAACGGG